This 253-nucleotide ribosomal RNA is filed under the name uncultured bacterium. RNAcentral describes it as "partial 16S ribosomal RNA". It matches the Rfam family "Bacterial small subunit ribosomal RNA", at positions 524 to 776 of the family's 1533-position model. The record is from RNAcentral.
UACGUAGGGGGCAAGCGUUGUCCGGAUUUAUUGGGCGUAAAGAGCGUGUAGGCGGCUUUGCAAGUCCGUUGUGAAAACUCGAGGCUCAACCUCGAGACGCCGGUGGAAACUGCAAAGCUAGAGUCCGGAAGAGGAGUGUGGAAUUCCUGGUGUAGCGGUGAAAUGCGCAGAUAUCAGGAGGAACACCAAUGGCGAAGGCAGCACUCUGGGACGUGACUGACGCUGAGACGCGAAAGCGUGGGGAGCAAACAGG